CUCGGGGGUGGGAGCUUCGGCCGCCCACGCUGCCCCUCGGUUUGUGGGUUCACCUCCCAGCUCCCGAGCGAAAGGUUUACGGGGUCGCCUCCCAGCGCGAGCGCGAGCUAGCGUCGUUCCCGGCUUGUAGCCCGUAGCCGGGCGGUGCUGCGUGGCCCAGGUCCAUUAGAUUUAAGUUGCGAGUUCUCUCUGGGCACCAGUAAAUGUGGACAUGCCAGUUGGGAGAUAAGAAGAUUGCAGCCAAAAGAAGAACCAUGGCUUUGGAAGGUGGAGUCCAGUCUGAGGAGGUGGGCACUGUCCUUCAUCAGUUCACAGUGUGUGGAUACUGUUCACGUUGAUUAAUUAAGAGUUACCAGGGCCUUCACUGCCCUGGACCGCAGAUUGGGCUCCCAGAUACAGGCAUCAGACCUGGCACUUCUUCAGGAGGUUCCUGGUCUGUGUAGGAGAGAAA
Molecule: long non-coding RNA, 451 nt
Filed under: Lynx canadensis (Canada lynx)
Lineage: Eukaryota; Metazoa; Chordata; Mammalia; Carnivora; Felidae
Description: lncRNA (ENSLCNG00005013308.1)
Source: RNAcentral